Molecule: ribosomal RNA, 510 nt
Filed under: uncultured Glomus
Lineage: Eukaryota; Fungi; Glomeromycota; Glomeromycetes; Glomerales; Glomeraceae
Description: SSU rRNA
Rfam family: Eukaryotic small subunit ribosomal RNA
Source: RNAcentral
AGCAGCCGCGGUAAUUCCAGCUCCAAUAGCGUAUAUUAAAGUUGUUGCAGUUAAAAAGCUCGUAGUUGAAUUUCGGGGUCAGCAGGUUGGUCGUGCCACUGGUAUGCACUGGCCUUGCUGAUUCCUCCCUCUUGAUGAACCGUAAUGCCAUUAAUUUGGUGUUGCAGGGAAUCAGGACUGUUACUUUAGAAAAAAUUAGAGUGUUUAAAGCAGGCAAGCGCUUGAAUACAUUAGCAUGGAAUAAUGAAAUAGGACGUUUGAUCCUAUUUUGUUGGUUUCUAGGAUUGACGUAAUGAUUAAUAGGGAUAGUUGGGGGCAUUAGUAUUCAAUUGUCAGAGGUGAAAUUCUUGGAUUUUAUUGAAGACUAACUACUGCGAAAGCAUUUGCCAAGGAUGUUUUCAUUAAUCAAGAACGAAAGUUAGGGGAUUGAAGACGAUCAGAUACCGUCGUAGUCUUAACCAUAAACUAUGCCGACUAGGGAUCGGAUGAUGUUAAUUUUUAAUGACUCGU